CUACGGGCCGCAGCAGUCGAGAAUCUUCCGCAAUGGACGAAAGUCUGACGGAGCGACGCCGCGUGCGGGAUGAAGGCCUUCGGGUUGUAAACCGCUGUCAGUGGGGAGGAAAUGCAUCAGGGUUCUCCCCGGUGUUUGACCGAUCCGCAGAGGAAGCGCAGGCUAAGUUCGUGCCAGCAGGCCGCGGUAACACGAACUGCGCGAACGUUAUUCGGAAUCACUGGGCUUAAAGAGUUCGUAGGCGGCCUUUCAAGUCGGGUGUGAAAUCCCUCGGCUCAACCGAGGAAUUGCGCCUGAUACUGUUGGGCUUGAGGGGGAUAGGGGUGAGCGGAACUGAUGGUGGAUCGGUGAAAUGCGUUGAUAUCAUCAGGAACACCGGUGGCGAAGGCGGCUCACUGGAUCUCUUCUGACGCUGAGGAACGAAAGCUAGGGGAGCGAACGGGAUUAGAUACCCCUGUAGUC
Molecule: ribosomal RNA, 462 nt
Filed under: uncultured bacterium
Lineage: Bacteria
Description: partial 16S ribosomal RNA
Rfam family: Bacterial small subunit ribosomal RNA
Source: RNAcentral